CCCUUAGAUGUUCUGGGCUGCACACGUGCUACACUGGCAGGUUCAGCGAGCUUCAUGCCCUGAUCUGAAAGGAAUGGGAAAUCUUUUCAAAACCUGCCGUGCUUGGGAUAGAUGUUUGCAAUUAUUCAUCUUCAACGAGGAUUGCCUUGUAAGCGCACGUCAUCAGCGUGCAAUGAAUACGACCCUGUAUUCUGUACACACCGCCCGUCGCUCCUACCGAUUGAAGUUUUCGGUGAGUUGACAGGAGGAUUUUUUUGAAACUGGUUCGCCAGUGGAUUUUAGAUCCAAAUGCCAACGAAUCGAUGGCUUUAGAGGAAGGAGAAGUCGUAACA
This 332-nucleotide ribosomal RNA is filed under the name uncultured eukaryote. Its description in RNAcentral is "partial 18S ribosomal RNA". It matches the Rfam family "Eukaryotic small subunit ribosomal RNA", at positions 1470 to 1796 of the family's 1831-position model. The record is from RNAcentral.